This is a non-coding RNA of Camelina sativa (false flax), 4993 nucleotides long. Lineage: Eukaryota; Viridiplantae; Streptophyta; Magnoliopsida; Brassicales; Brassicaceae. The record is from RefSeq and is a predicted model, not a curated record.
CCCGAGUUGUUUGACCGCAUCAACAUGCUUAUGACUCAGUUUCACGAGGAAAGGUCGCGUUCCAAGCAGCUUCAUCAAAUGGUGGAAAAGCUCUUGCUCCGUCUUCCUCCGCCUGAGGAGCAUCACGGCUCGCCGACAUUGAGCUUCGUCGAUCACUCUUGUUCUCAAGACGUCCAUAAACAGGUUUUUCCCUCUACCGCUGACUCUAAACCUUGUGAUUUUAACCCUGGAUCUCGUGAGAAUCUGUUGAAAAACUCUGAGAUGCCUGUGUUUGAGGGAGAGGGUAUUUACGAGUGGAUUGCUUUGGUAGAGAGAUAUUUCCGGAUUGGUGGGUUUAAUGACAGGGAGAAGCUGGAUCUGGUCUCGGUUCAUCUCGCGGGUGAUGCCUUGGGUUGGUACAACUGGGAGGUUAACAGGUUGCUCUUCUCCAACUGGUUUCAAUUCAAGGAUCGGUUGUUGUUGCGCUUUGGGAACUUGCGGAUCAAAGGGCAUAGUCAGAGUCUCUUUUGUAUCAAACAAACUGGAACUAUUGCUGAGUAUCUGCGGCUCUUUGAGGACCUUUCUGCUCAAGUUUCUGGGUUGGAUGAUCACAAACUGGAGGGUAUCUUCUUGAAUGGGUUGCGCUAUGAGAUGUAGGAGUUAGUUUACAUGAUGAAACCGCAGAGUCUUCCUGAGAUGAAUGCAGUGGCCCUCUCCAUGGAAACUAGCACCUUACGCAAAGUAAUGUUGAAGGAGUUACCUGCGGGUGAGCUGGAGUCGUCUACUCAUCCGUAGCAGUCAACGUCGGUGGUUACUUGGAAAGGGAAACCAGUGGUUUCAGAUGUGGGUAAACUUCCGGAGAAACAGAGCUCCGGUGUGCCUCUGCGUCCUUAACAACACCAUUCCAACGCUGAUCUGGAUGACAUGCGUCGUAGAGGCUUGUGUUUCAAGUGUCAUGGCAAGUGGUUCCGUGGUCAUGAGUGCCCAAACAAGGAGCUCCAGAUCCUCACGGUUCUCGAUGACUACAUGGUGGAAGUUAUACAGGAACACCAAGAUCCUGAGGUUUAUGAGGUGGUGAAGGCUGGCCAAAAUGUAGAACUCUCCUACAGUUCUUACAUGGGUUUGUCCUCUCCUCUUACCACCAAGCUUCGUGGGGUUAUCACUAAUGAUGAGGUGACUAUGCUGAUUGAUAGUGGGGCGACGCAUAACUUCAUCACCCCGGCUUUGGUUAAACGUUUGAACCUGCAGAUUCAAGCUUCUGAGAAUCUGACCAUUGUGUUGGGUAUUGGUGUUACUGCUAUGAGUGGUGGUGUCUGUCGCAGGGUAAAGUUAAGUGCAAGGAUGGACUUUCACCUCUGAUUUAUUUGUGUUGGAGCUCAGUCAGGUGGAUGUCAUUCUGGGGUGUAUUGGCUCCGCAUCUUGGGGGAUUGCCAAGUAAACUGGGACAAGUGGGUGUUUUCUUUCCAUUAUCAGGGUGAAUUGGUGCGCUUGUUUGGGGAACCAAACUCCCCUGUGUCUAACAGUGCUCUCCUACUCACAGAGCCUUUUGUAGAUGAGCACCACACCAUCGCUUGUUCUAGUACAGUGCUUCACCAACAGGACCAGCUCACUCAUCUUGAUGUUUCUCGAGUGUUGCAGAAGUAUGCUCACGUGUUUGAGGAACCCACUGGACUACCUGCUGUCAGGGGCCGAGAACAUGCGAUCACUCUCGUGAAUGGGGUGCAGGCGGUCAGUGUGCGUCCCUACCGUUACCCUACAACACAGAAGGAGAUAAUGGAGACACUGGUCAAGGAAUGUUGCAGGCGGGUACCAUCCGUCCCAGCCAUAGUCCUUUUUCUAGUCCAGUUCUCUUAGUUCGCAAGAAGUAUAAGUCGUGGCGAUUUUGUGUGGACUACAGGGCGUUAAACAGAGCCACUGUUCCAGACAAGUUUCCUAUCCCUAUCAUUGAUCAGCUCCUGGAUGAACUCCACGGUGCUCGAGUAUUUUCCAAACUUGAUUUACGUGCAAGAUACCACCAGAUCUGCAUGAAGGAACAGGACAUUGAGAAAACUGCCUUUCACACUCAUGACGGCCACUAUGAGUUUCUUGUCAUGCCCUUUGGCCUCUCAAAUGCUCCAGCAACUUUUCAAGGACUCAUGAAUGAGCUGUUUCGACCAUACCUUCGUCAGUUCAUUCUAGUCUUCUUCGAUGAUGUGCUGAUUUACAGUGCCACACUCUCGGAUCACAUUAUUCAUUUGCGAGUGGUAAUGCAGAUCUUUGCUGCUAAUCGCCUCUUUGCCAACAUGAAGAAGUGCCUUUUUGCUCAAUCUCGUAUCGAAUACCUUGGUCACGUCAUCUCUGCUGAUGGAGUCUCCACGGACCCUGCAAAGACACAGGCGAUGACCAAAUGGCCUUCUCUCCGUACCGUGAAGGAAUUGCAAGGAUUGCUUGGCCUCACGGGCUAUUACCGCUGGCUUUGUUCGUGGAUAUGGCAUGAUUGCUCGUCCUUUAACGGAGUUAUUGCGUAAAGAUAGCUUUGACUGGAUUUCUGAGGCGCAUGUGGCAUUUGAACAUUUGAAGACUGCAAUGGCCUCUGCACCGGUUCUGGCUUUACGAAAUUUCUCCAAGCUCUUCAUUGUCGAAGCCGAUGCCUCUGGUUUUGGCUUAGGCACCGUCUUGAUGCAGGACAAACGUCUUGUUGCUUUUUUCAGCCAUGGCCUCACUGAUAAGGAACAACUGAAGCUGGUUUACGAACAGGAGUUAAUGGCCAUUGUUCUGGCGGUACAGAAAUGGAAACACUACCUAUUGGGACGCCGAUUUGUGGUCCAUACUUACCAGAAAAGUCUCAAAUUCCUGUUGGAACUGCGGGAGGUCACCAUGAAUUACCAAAAAUGGUUAAUCAAGCUGCUUCCUUACGAGUUUGAAAUUCUUUAUAAGCCUGGUAUUCACAACAAAGCAGCAGAUGGCUUAUCCCGGAUUUAACGCACUCCAGUUCUGGUCUCUACUCUGAGUUUAUUCGCCUUGACCGUCCCCACCAGCUUGCACCUGCAAGACAUUUACAAGGAGAUUCAAAGCAGUGUCGACUUGCAGCGUCUGCUUAAAAAAGAUCCACAGGUGUUGGCGGACCGCGGUUAUGAUGUUAGGGAGGGUAAAAUUUGGCACAAGAACUGAUUACUUCUUCCUCCUCAGUCACGACAUAUUCCCCUCAUCUUGGAGCUCUUUCUUGACAGUCCGUUUGGCGGCCAUUCUGGUGUUCUCAAAACACUAAAACGCAUUCAGUUGUCUUUCCAUUGGUGGUGGAUGCUCAAGGAUUUCCAGCAUUAUGUCGCCGAAUGUGAGGUUUGUCAGACUCACAAGACCUCCACUCUCUCUCCUGCAGGACUUCUUCAACCUUUGCUUAUCCCAGCUCGGGUUUGGGAGAAAGUGAGCAUGGAAUUUAUCAGGGAUUGCCUAUGUCUCAAGGUGUUAACGUCAUCUUGGUUGUGGUGGAUUGCCUCAGCAAGUUUGGCCAUUUCUUGGGGUUACGCCACCCGUUUACUACUCAGGACUUGGCUCAAAAGUUCAUUCACGAGGUGGUUCGCCUGCACGGGAUUUCGGCUUCUAUUGUCUCCGACAGGGACCGCAUUUUUCUCAGCAACUUCUGGAAAGAUUGUUUCAAACAGGCAGGAACAAAGCUCAAGUACAAUACUGCUUUCCAUCCCAGUCGGAUGGCCAAACUGAGGUCCUUAAUCGCUGUCUGGAAACGUAUUUGCGGUGUUUUACCUCUGCUCACCCUCGCUCUUGGGCCAAGUUUCUUCCUUGGGCGGAACUUUGGUAUAACACCUCCUUCCACACGUCUCUGCAGUCCACUCCCUUCAAGGUGGUGUACGGUCGGGAUCCUCCUCCUCUGCUCCCCUAUGAAGCUCGUUUUACUCAGAAUUUCGAACUGGAGAAGAUGCUUCUGGAGAGGGACUCCAUGCUUGUUGUUAUCCGCUCUCACUUGCUUCACGCUCAGCAACUAAUGACGAAUAACACUGACAAACACCGCCGGGACGUUGACUUUGCGGUGGACUCGUGGGUCUACCUUAAGUUGCGUCCCUAUCGCCAGCAGUCUGUGGUCAAGCGUAUCUGCCAGAAGCUGGCUGCUAAGUUUUAUGGGCCAUUCAAAAUCAUCGAACGCGUGGGCAAGGCUGCUUACCGCCUGCAAUUACCACCGUCCUCGAAGAUUCACCCAGUCUUCCAUGUUUCAUAGUUGAAGCAAGUACUGGGUUCUUAUCAUCAGGUUCUACCAUUACAUUCGUAUUUUUCGGACAAUGAUGAACUGGUCUUGGUACCUGAGGCGGUUUUGGCUACACGUUACAAUCCCCAAGGCCAGUUGGAAGCCUUGGUCUCGUGGCGUGGCUUACCUGCACAUGAAAAAACUUGGGAGAAUUGGAAGGAGCUUCGUCAGCAAUUCCCAACUCUAUCGCUUGAGGACAAGCUUGUUGGUGAAGGGGAGGGGGUAUUGAUAAACCACUACAGGUUUACGUGAGGAAGAAGCCAACACGUGCUACGAGGGGCACGUGCGAAAAUGCAAAUUAAGAUGACCGUUGGAUGCAGAUAUUUUACGAGGAGUGUUACGAUGGAAGCACGUGGUUCUGCAGAUAAAAUAUCUAGCUUAAGGCGGUUCACCUCAGCUUAUAAAUAAAGAGAUACAGUGUACCUGGUUCCUCAUGCAAUAUUGAUGUGCAAUUUCUCCUGCGUGGGAUCUAAGAUCUUAUCAGGGAAAUAGCGAGAGAUGUGAUCACCAAUGUUCUUAGCCACACCACAGAGCUCGACAUCAUCAAACCUCUCGUUCGCAUGAAAGUAUCCACUAUCCAACAAUACUCAAACCUUGAGCCACGUAAUGCUCCUCAAUUUACCACAACAAAAGUAUACCUGAAUACGUAAGUUUUUUCUUUAAAUGAUUCUGAAUGCAUAAGUUCAGAAUCUCAGAUCGAGUAAAGGAUAACAACGCUACAAUUUUCCAAUCUGCCAAUUCGCUUUGGAGAGCAGAUAAAUAUACUGACAUUAAAUC